AGCACUGUACAUUCACUGCCCCCACCUACAAUCCCUGCCGGUACGAGACUCGAACCCGCAACCUUUGGGUUACGAGUCCGACUCUCUAACCAUUAGGCCACAACUUUGAUUUGUUAUGAUGUGAAUUUCAAAAUAAUUUCUCCACUUCGUUUGAGCAGAUGUUGGUGUUUUUGAAAGAGGUGUGUUGUUGAUAUCUUUAACACGAUGCUCUUGCAGAUAGACUCACGUAGCAGCGGGUUGGCGGCACGCUGCAGGAGCUGUUGUGUCUGGCUCAUGGCAAGUUCUGCACUGCAGAUCACACUGUCUGCAGCCCGUUCAACAUUUUCCAUCGUGUUGCUCACUGGGCCUUGGAUAACCAAGCAUUGGGAACAUCAGCAUGACCUUGGUGCGCACGCGGUCAGAGAGGCCCGUACCAAACCCCGC
RNAcentral lists this long non-coding RNA (423 nucleotides) under Sinocyclocheilus anshuiensis. Its description in RNAcentral is "lncRNA (ENSSANG00000013619.1)". The record is from RNAcentral. Lineage: Eukaryota; Metazoa; Chordata; Actinopteri; Cypriniformes; Cyprinidae.